AAUCUAAAACGAAUCUCGGGAAAGGAUAUUCGGCUCUCCCAUUCAUUAAAAAAGUAACCAAAUGGGAUACUUGGUGUAAUUGGAAAAUCCCGUGAAAC
RNAcentral lists this ribosomal RNA (98 nucleotides) under Morus bombycis. RNAcentral describes it as "5.8S ribosomal RNA". Lineage: Eukaryota; Viridiplantae; Streptophyta; Magnoliopsida; Rosales; Moraceae. The record is from RNAcentral.